RNAcentral lists this ribosomal RNA (492 nucleotides) under uncultured bacterium. Its description in RNAcentral is "partial 16S ribosomal RNA". It matches the Rfam family "Bacterial small subunit ribosomal RNA", at positions 29 to 507 of the family's 1533-position model. The record is from RNAcentral.
AGUGAACGCUGGCGGUAGGCCUAACACAUGCAAGUCGAACGGCAGCACAGUAAGAGCUUGCUCUUACGGGUGGCGAGUGGCGGACGGGUGAGGAAUACAUCGGAAUCUACUUUUUCGUGGGGGAUAACGUAGGGAAACUUACGCUAAUACCGCAUACGACCUACGGGUGAAAGCAGGGGAUCUUCAGACCUUGCGCGAUUGAAUGAGCCGAUGUCGGAUUAGCUAGUUGGCGGGGUAAAGGCCCACCAAGGCGACGAUCCGUAGCUGGUCUGAGAGGAUGAUCAGCCACACUGGAACUGAGACACGGUCCAGACUCCUACGGGAGGCAGCAGUGGGGAAUAUUGGACAAUGGGCGCAAGCCUGAUCCAGCCAUACCGCGUGGGUGAAGAAGGCCUUCGGGUUGUAAAGCCCUUUUGUUGGGAAAGAAAAGCAGCAGGUUAAUACCCCGCUGUUCUGACAGUACCCAAAGAAUAAGCACCGGCUAACUUCGUG